GGUAACCAGUAGAGUUUGAUCCUGGCUCAGUAAGUCGUAACAAGGUAACCAGUAGAGUUUGAUCCUGGCUCAGGACGAACGCUGGCGGCGUGCUUAAUACAUGCAAGUCGUACGCUUCUUUCUCCACCGGAGCUUGCUCCACCGGAAAAAGAGGAGUGGCGAACGGGUGAGUAACACGUGGGUAACCUGCCCAUCAGAAGGGGAUAACACUUGGAAACAGGUGCUAAUACCGUAUAACAAUCGAAACCGCAUGGUUUUGAUUUGAAAGGCGCUUUCGGGUGUCGCUGAUGGAUGGACCCGCGGUGCAUUAGCUAGUUGGUGAGGUAACGGCUCACCAAGGCCACGAUGCAUAGCCGACCUGAGAGGGUGAUCGGCCACAUUGGGACUGAGACACGGCCCAAACUCCUACGGGAGGCAGCAGUAGGGAAUCUUCGGCAAUGGACGAAAGUCUGACCGAGCAACGCCGCGUGAGUGAAGAAGGUUUUCGGAUCGUAAAACUCUGUUGUUAGAGAAGAACAAGGAUGAGAGUAACUGUUCAUCCCUUGACGGUAUCUAACCAGAAAGCCACGGCUAACUACGUGCCAGCAGCCGCGGUAAUACGUAGGUGGCAAGCGUUGUCCGGAUUUAUUGGGCGUAAAGCGAGCGCAGGCGGUUUCUUAAGUCUGAUGUGAAAGCCCCCGGCUCAACCGGGGAGGGUCAUUGGAAACUGGGAGACUUGAGUGCAGAAGAGGAGAGUGGAAUUCCAUGUGUAGCGGUGAAAUGCGUAGAUAUAUGGAGGAACACCAGUGGCGAAGGCGGCUCUCUGGUCUGUAACUGACGCUGAGGCUCGAAAGCGUGGGGAGCAAACAGGAUUAGAUACCCUGGUAGUCCACGCCGUAAACGAUGAGUGCUAAGUGUUGGAGGGUUUCCGCCCUUCAGUGCUGCAGCUAACGCAUUAAGCACUCCGCCUGGGGAGUACGACCGCAAGGUUGAAACUCAAAGGAAUUGACGGGGGCCCGCACAAGCGGUGGAGCAUGUGGUUUAAUUCGAAGCAACGCGAAGAACCUUACCAGGUCUUGACAUCCUUUGACCACUCUAGAGAUAGAGCUUCCCCUUCGGGGGCAAAGUGACAGGUGGUGCAUGGUUGUCGUCAGCUCGUGUCGUGAGAUGUUGGGUUAAGUCCCGCAACGAGCGCAACCCUUAUUGUUAGUUGCCAUCAUUCAGUUGGGCACUCUAGCAAGACUGCCGGUGACAAACCGGAGGAAGGUGGGGAUGACGUCAAAUCAUCAUGCCCCUUAUGACCUGGGCUACACACGUGCUACAAUGGGAAGUACAAC
This 1316-nucleotide ribosomal RNA is filed under the name Enterococcus faecium. RNAcentral's name for it is "bacterial SSU rRNA". It matches the Rfam family "Bacterial small subunit ribosomal RNA", at positions 1 to 1243 of the family's 1533-position model. The record is from RNAcentral. Lineage: Bacteria; Bacillati; Bacillota; Bacilli; Lactobacillales; Enterococcaceae.